Molecule: non-coding RNA, 71 nt
Organism: Potamilus streckersoni
Lineage: Eukaryota; Metazoa; Mollusca; Bivalvia; Unionida; Unionidae
Source: the annotation of a GenBank genome assembly
CGCUCCGGUGGCUUAGUGGUUAGAGCAUCCGCCUCGGAUGCGGGAGGUCGUAAGUUCGAAACCCCGGCCGA